Oreochromis niloticus (Nile tilapia) is the source of this 997-nucleotide long non-coding RNA. RefSeq lists it as uncharacterized. The record is from RefSeq and is a predicted model, not a curated record. Lineage: Eukaryota; Metazoa; Chordata; Actinopteri; Cichliformes; Cichlidae. The transcript is spliced from 2 exons.
UGCAGUCCAAGCCAUAGAGAAAUCUAGAGGGAUGAUGAUGUUGCAGGAGAGAGCCAGCUGGCUCAACCUGACAAACCUGUCACAGAGGGAGAAGGAGGACAUUUUGGACAUGCCGAUUGUGCCGAACUGCGUUUUCGGGACUGCUCUGGCUUCCAUGCAGCAGAAGUGUAAUGUAUGGAUCUACUCUAUUUAUCAGCCCAACUACAUUAAAAACGCAACAGAUGUGAGCUCCUACUGCAACAAGACCCCUUUACCUGUUUGCCUUCUGGACCACCACUUUGGUUUACAUCCUGGUUGGUUUGUUUUUCUUGUGCGGCUCUUUGGUCCUGAUGUGCUGCUGCCUGUGUUGCCGUGCUAAUCUCGACGACGAUGUUGUGUAACGACUUUUGGAAGCAAUGAGGGGACGGGACGCUGCCGAAGCAAAUAUGUUGGAAAUGCGUUCUAAAAAAAUGGCAGGGUAAGUGUGUGAUGUGGCCGUGCAUCUUGUGUUGAAAGAUGCAACCCUUUCAGUAGAUUCUCAAUUGAAAUUCUACUGUUUUCUCCUUGAUGAGCAUUUUCUAAACCUCUGCAGCAGCUACUGUUUACAGGAAUUUUAUUCUGAAAAUUAAGAACCUACACAGAUGUUUAAGAAUUUGUAUGAGAGCUGAUUCCACCAGCAAAAAUAUGUUUUGCUUUCCUAUUUGUUUCCAUGUUUGUCCCAGGAAAACACAUCUACAUUAUAAAUGUGAGGAAGGUUUUUCUCACAAGUAUCUCAGCUCGUCAUUAAACUCUUUUAGUGACGCUACAGAUAAAUAUCAGCCACCGACAUCGUUUACUGCCAUCCUAUUUGCUGAUAAACGCCCAGCAUCAGUCAGUGUCAGGAUUCAGCUGAUACAUCUGUGAAUCUGUAGAUGUGCUGUUACAUGAUGAGCCACAAAUUCGGGUUAUUGAGUGUACAUGAUGAAAUUAAAAAGUCACUUUGGUAAUGGUAUCAUUCAGGGAAUAAACAAAUACUAAA